AACGUAGGUGGCGAGCGUUAUCCGGAUUUACUGGGCGUAAAGCGUGUGCAGGCGGGGAGACAAGUGGGGGAUGAAAUUUCCCGGCUUAACCGGGAAGGGUUAUGCCAGACUGUCUUUCUGGAGUGCGAGAGAGGGGCGUGGAAUUCCGGGUGUAGUGGUGAAAUGCGUAGAGAUCCGGAGGAACCCCAGAGGCGAAGGCGGCGCCCUGGGGAGUACCUGACGCUCAGGUGCGAAAGCCAGGGGAGCGAACGGG
Molecule: ribosomal RNA, 253 nt
Filed under: uncultured bacterium
Lineage: Bacteria
Description: partial 16S ribosomal RNA
Rfam family: Bacterial small subunit ribosomal RNA
Source: RNAcentral